GACGAACGCUGGCGGCGUGCCUAAUACAUGCAAGUUGAGCGCUGAAGGUUGGUUCUUGUACCAACUGGAUGAGCAGCGGACGGGUGAGUAACGCGUGGGCAAUCUGCCUUUUAGCGGUGGACAACAUUUAGAGACGAAUGCUAAUACCGCAUAACAACUUUAAACACAAGGUUUAAGAUUGAAAUCGGCAAUUGCUUCACUCAAAGCUGAUCCCGCGUUGUAUUAGCUAGUUGGUGAGCUAAAGGGCCACCAAGGCGAUGACACAUAGCCGACCGGGGAGGGGGGUCGGCCGCCUUGGGACGGGGACACGGCCCAAAGGCCUGCGGGAGGGAGCAGCAGGGAAUCUGCGGCAAUGGAGGGAAGUAUUGCAGAGCAAGGGCGCGUGAGUGGAGGAGGUGUUCGGGUCGUGAAGCUCUGUUGGUAGUGGAGAACGUUGGUGGGAGUGGAAAGAGCAUCUAGUGACGGUAACUACCCAGAAAGGGACGGCUAACUACGUG
Molecule: ribosomal RNA, 497 nt
Filed under: uncultured bacterium
Lineage: Bacteria
Description: partial 16S ribosomal RNA
Rfam family: Bacterial small subunit ribosomal RNA
Source: RNAcentral